RNAcentral lists this long non-coding RNA (419 nucleotides) under Setaria italica (foxtail millet). RNAcentral's name for it is "long non-coding RNA (SITA_LNC003402)". The record is from RNAcentral. Lineage: Eukaryota; Viridiplantae; Streptophyta; Magnoliopsida; Poales; Poaceae.
AGAACGUAAAUAGAAUUGCAGAUUAAAUUACCGAUUGUACCUUGUGAGUUUCGCUGUAGCUCCAUGUCUUUGCAGCGGCGAUAGUAGAUGCUAGUUCCAGACUCGACGGGAGAACGGGAAGCAAAAGGCACAGGGACACCAUGGGGGAAGAGAACCCGGGGCCAAAAAAACAAGCCCCGUGCGAUCUCCUCCCCCGGACACAAGAAUAUUUUUUUAUUACCGUGGCCUGCCAUGCGAGCGCACCCAACAUGGCAAAGGCCUCUCUCGAAGUCACAUCUUUUUCUCAUUUUUCUGCCCUCAACGCACGCCGACUCGACGCCGAAAUCUUACAUGCUUCAACCUUACCUCGCCUCUUCAAGGCGGCACGGCUCACAUCUCUUAGAUCUACUAAUAAUUAUCGAAAUUCAUCCAAUAAUUAU